Molecule: long non-coding RNA, 6059 nt
Filed under: Brassica napus (rape)
Lineage: Eukaryota; Viridiplantae; Streptophyta; Magnoliopsida; Brassicales; Brassicaceae
Description: long non-coding RNA (BNAP_LNC016805)
Source: RNAcentral
CUAUUGAAUCGGUCUUUUGAAUAAGUCAUGCUUUUAUUUUGAAGAUUGCUUUGUAAUUCCCACCUUCAAUAUAUCCACAUUUUACUCAUUCCAGUUUGAUAUUUAAAGACCUCAAAACUUACAUGUUCCCAAAACUAAAUUGUUUCAACUUUCUCAAGGCUAAUUAAUUGUCAUAAAGAGCUACUAAUUGAUCAAAAGAAAAUGAAGACCAUUCAAUUAAUAUGCAUCGUCUUCGUCGUACUCUUGUCAUCAUUCCCGGCUACAAUCAAGAGUAAGAAGUUGGCAGAUACUUGCUUUGAAAGUCUUGCUUACUGCAUGAACCUUAUUCCUAGAGAUAAAAAGUACUGGGAAAAGGACUGUUGUAACGUUCGUGCAAAGCGAGAUCAAGCGGCGACAAAACAAUGUUCAUGUAUAAUAGCGAAUAAUCCUCAGAAAUAUCUUGAUCUCAUCAAGCUUUUCAAAGCCUGUGGAUUAGGCAAUGUAGGUAAUUAUCACAACCAGCCUUGCAAAUGAUACGAGCCGAACAUAGUCAACAAACCCAACCGCCAAGGAUCGUCAAACCAAAUUGGAGAUAUUUAUUUAUACGCAAUCAUCGGUUAUUUCCUUAUAUAUUUUAUCAUUUUAAUUAAGCUAUUGUUUAAUAAGGAGAGAGAAUUGGUCUUCUACAUGUUCGUGAACCAUCUCUCUCAUUUUUAUUCUGCUCGCAUGAAUUACAAAUUUACAAUUCCAUGUUCUUUUGUUUCUAGGUAUUUUUUAAUAUUUUAUGAAAAUAAAACUAAAAUAGGUUGUCUACUCUAAAUUACCAUUAAGAAUUUUUGUUGUUCUUAAUCUUGGUACUUUGAGACUUGUAACACCAACUAAUAGUACAAUCCAUAAUUAUUAUGCAAGGGGAUAUUUUUCAAUCCAAAAAUUAGUCUAAUGCAACUUUGGCUUUGAUUGGUCAUUCAUAGAGUAAAAGGGAGAAAUAUAAAAACGUCAGAAGUGAGAAGAAAAAAAUGAAGAAAUAUUGUUACUCUCAUUAAAUCUAUUUAAUCUCGAGUAAAAUUGAAUGUAUAUUUAUAUUUGUUUUGUUUACACAAUAAUAAGAGUAAAUGAGAAAAAUCUAGUUAUAUAUAUUAUAUCAUGAAAAUUUCAAAUUUGUUUCAAUUAUUAUAACUCUUUAUACUGUAUUAAAUAAUUUUUUGGUCAAAUUAAAUAAGAUAUUCUUAAAUCUAUAAACUAAAAAUAAGUAAAAUUGGGGUUUGCUACCAAAUAUGUAUUCUUCUAAAUCGAUUAAAUAUCAAUGAGAUUAACCAUUACACACGUAUGAUAAGGUGGUUUCCUUAUAUUUAUGACAUUUUUAUUCCAUUAUUCUUACUUGGUGCCAUAAAUUCAUUUUUAAGAUGAAAAUAUAACAAAAACUUUUUUAGAUAUAUACAUUUCAUCUAGUAAUAUAGUACUUCUACUACUUUUGAAGAGAAGAUGGAAACAUGUCUGCAGAUAAUCUCUUCGUCAAGACUAUCUCAUCUCCAAGACCUACCAAAUUUGGAUCCUCUGGCGAAUAAGAAAGAGUUGUAAUAUACUCGUAUUCCAACAAAAACAGUUACGUUGGAAAAAUAGUUCUUAAACAGUCUCGUGUAGAUGCAAAUGAAUGGAAAGAACCGGAAGAAGCACAAAAACAGCUUCACCAAGGUGAAAACAACGAAAUCGGAAUGUGAUUAUGAGACCAGUGAGGAAAAGAUGGACCCCUCCGCAGAAUGGAUGGCUAAAGUGCAACAUAGAUGGUUCGUAUGUGGAUUCUUUCACACCAAGUACAGCUGGAUGGGUUAUAAGAGACUCUAAUGGAUACUAUCUUGUAGCUGGACAAGCAAAAGGAAACAAAGUACAUAGUGCUCUGGAAUCUGAAAUACAGGCUCUUCUUAUUGCAAUGCAGUUUUGCUGGUCUAAAGGUUACAAGAAGAUAAUCUUUGAAGGAGAUAAUAAAGAUCAUAGAUAUUCUUACCAAGGAAAGGCUCCAUUUUGAUGUUCAUAACUGGAUAAGAGAGAUGAUUUGGUGGUCUUCUAAGUUUGAAGAAGUUCAAUAUCACUGGAUUGGCAGAGAAGGGAGCACUGUUGCAGACCAACUCGCAAAACAACAACUACCGGAAAAUAUUUCUUAUGUUUUUCAUUUCUUUGUUCCAAGAUGUAUGAAUUCGUUUUUGCAUCAUGAUUAUGUAAAAACAAAAGAUUUGUUUAUUGAAAGUUACAUAAUCAAUAAGCGAGAUGAAGUAGAUUGUUUCUAAUGUGAUGUUUAGGAAGCAACCUGAGUAAAUUUGAUCACUCACGAAACUUGUUUUUCUUUAGAUUUUGCCCAAAAAAGUUUUUCUUUAGAAAUUAUAUGUACAUUAUUUAGUAAGGUUACAAUAUGAACUCCAUACUUUCAAUGCAUUUAUAACAAUUAAUCACAUCAAGAAAUUACCUACAAUUGAUCUGGUGUAUCGGAAAGUGGUGCUUCUUUAAUUGUCUUUUUGCAAUUUGUAUCCUUUUCUUGUAAAGUUUUAUAUGCAUCUCCAAAUGAACUAUGAAUUUUGCCAGCAACCAUUAUGAUAUUCCCAUAAUAUAAGUAGAUGGGAUUGCUGUUUAGUAUGAAGUUUAAUAAAGAUUUUAAAGUGAGAUUAUUAAGAUACAAGAAAUAUAAAUAAAGGUUCUGGUAUUUAUAUGUGAUUUUGCAAAUAUGUUUUAUAAUUUUCUGGAGUUUCUUUGUUUCACUUUUAUGUUAUAUUUUGCUAAUGCGUACAACUCUUUAUAUGAAGACUAAAAGUUGCCAUAGUUAAGUUUUUAAAGUUUACAAAUAAUUGAUCAUCAAAUGUUGCAAUAGUAACCAUUAAAAAUUCAAGGCGAUAUAUAAUAAUAUAAAUAGUUGCAAGUUUUUAUCUAUACCAUUAUAGUAAUACCCUUAAACAAGUUUAGAUGCUACCUUAAAGAUUUUGUUUCAUACAUAUUUUGUUGAAAAAGAAAAUUGUUGAGAAUUGACCACAUGUAAACCGAAAUUGUUGAGAAUUAAACUGAAAGCUAUAUGACGAUAAAUUAAUAAUUGUUUUUAUUUUAUACAUAUAUAAACGGUAGUGAUCUAUCAGGUUGAGAAGUUGAUAUCUUGCAUAUUUCUAUUGUUUUAUCCAUUCACCCAUGUGCAUUUUGAUCAUAUAGAUUAGGAUUUAGCCAUGUUUAGGUUGCAUUUUGCAUACAUGAGUCCUUAUCAGGCAUUGGAGUACCACAUGGAGUUCUUGGAGACAUUUGGAUGCAAUUGGAGUUCAAAAGAAGUGUUUAAAGUGAUCAUUGGGCGAACACCUUACCGGAGCGACCAGUCCGGAACGACACCAUCAAGUCGCUCUGAUCUCCCUAUCAGAGCGACCUUACCAGAGCGACAGGGAAGAGUCGCUCGCGUUUUGAUCACCCAGAGACGCGAGAACGAGUCUAGAGCGACCUCUCGCAGCGACACAGCGAGGAUGCUCCCGAAGCAUGGAGCGACUUCACGGAGCGACAAGGAGGAGUCGCUCGCGUUUUCAUCACUCGGAGACGCGAGAACGAGUCUGGAGCGACCUCUCGCAGCGACACAGCGAGGUCGCUCCCGAAGCAUGGAGCGACUUGUCGGAGCGACGAGCGGAGGUCGCUCCGCGUCUUAUUUCUGCUCGAACUUAUGAUUUCUCAAGGGCCUUUUGGUCAUUUCAUUAUGCACGUUUUUAUUUUCUAAACCUAUGUUUUAAUACUCUGUAAGCCACCAGGAGGCAGAUCAUCUUUGUUCUUAAGAAAAACCACCAAAAACCUUUGGAAAGUCAUCUCUUGAAUCAAUUGAUCAGUUUUGUUAUUGAAAUUCUGUGUUCUUAUAUCUAUUUUCUGUGUUUCUCUACAUGAUUAAUCUGAAAUCCAAUAUGGGUUUAAGAGGAAUCAUGGAGAUUAGUGAGUAAUCACUCUUUGAAUUCAUGGGUUAGGGAGAUUAAUGGUGAUUAGGUUAGAGCUAGGAUGUUUUAGUGUAGAUCAUUCAUAUUUCCUUGCUAACAGAGUGAACAUAAUGCAUCUUCUGAGUUGGCCACUCAGUUGUUGAUCCUUAGGCAUUUCUCACCCGAAAGGUGUUCGAGGAAAUGCCCGAGACAACUCUUCUAAGCUUUUAGCAUACUUUGCCAAAGACAUUUGUUGUUAGAGGUGCUAAGAUAGCCAUUGGACUUGCUAGUUAUGAUUGCUUUCAUAUUAUUCAACCAAAGACAUUUGAUGUUUGAAUUGUGUUAGUAAAUGAACAUUCAUCUAGACAUAGAGUUUGUUUAGGAUUGUGUCUAAGCUUAAAAUUGAUAGUUGAUUGAUCGUUUGUCAUCCUUAGUUCGAAACUUGAUCACCCGAGGUCUAAUCCAUAUAUCCAUGAGUUCUCUUUUCUCAUAGUUAAGAAAGUAUCAUUUAGUUAUUCCUUUUAGUUAGUUAUAGUUUAAAAACCCUUUUAAAAACCAUUGGUUGCACUUAGAUUAAGUGAUUAUUUGCAUUCUCAGUGUUUUCAUAUCUCUCAGAACUGGUUCGACAAUCAUUUAUAUUACAACAUUUGUCUUACGAGCCUUGAAAACUCUUAACAUCAGAAGUAUAUCAAAAGCCUGAGAAGGAAUAGCCUAGAUGAUAAGUCUAGGGUUUUUUAUGUUUUGUUUACUAAUUGGUGUUUUGGAUCUAAUAGGGUUGAAAUAUUUUGUAAACGGUAUUGGUUAAUCUUGUGAUGUUUGGUAUCAAUUUUUGCAACCAGUAUAUAUGCAACAUGAUGAUUUUUUUUAGUACUAAGAGAUCAUAAUUAAGCGAUCAACGUCAUCAGAGAAACAAGGGAGUCGUCAGAAUGUAUGGAUUAAUUCAAUGAAAGCUAACAUUCUAACCACUAAUACAUGUGCGAGUACAUAUAUAUAAUAGGUAAUAUGAAAUUUCAACCAUUCUUAAUGUAUUAAGAGAGGAAAUGUACUAAAUAUAUAAUGUAUUAUUGUUGAGUACACGUUGAUUAUUAUCCCAAACCAAUGAGAGCUUGACUAUGAACUAAGCUUUUGUACAGCUUGAGUAGUUGAGUUCUUCGCUUAUCCUCCUAUACUCAACCAAGGACCGGAUCUUUCUGUCUCCAUAGAGCUUCCCAUGUUAACGAUUCAGACAGAUUGAGUUAUUAUUCAUACGAAAGGAUACACCUACUCAUCACUCAUCAAAAACUCUAUUUUUAUUCACUUCCUAUUGAAUCGGUCUUUUGAAUAAGUCAUGCUUUUAUUUUGAAGAUUGCUUUGUAAUUCCCACCUUCAAUAUAUCCACAUUUUACUCAUUCCAGUUUGAUAUUUAAAGACCUCAAAACUUACAUGUUCCCAAAACUAAAUUGUUUCAACUUUCUCAAGGCUAAUUAAUUGUCAUAAAGAGCUACUAAUUGAUCAAAAGAAAAUGAAGACCAUUCAAUUAAUAUGCAUCGUCUUCGUCGUACUCUUGUCAUCAUUCCCGGCUACAAUCAAGAGUAAGAAGUUGGCAGAUACUUGCUUUGAAAGUCUUGCUUACUGCAUGAACCUUAUUCCUAGAGAUAAAAAGUACUGGGAAAAGGACUGUUGUAACGUUCGUGCAAAGCGAGAUCAAGCGGCGACAAAACAAUGUUCAUGUAUAAUAGCGAAUAAUCCUCAGAAAUAUCUUGAUCUCAUCAAGCUUUUCAAAGCCUGUGGAUUAGGCAAUGUAGCUAAUUAUCACAACCAGCCUUGCAAAUGAUACGAGCCGAACAUAGUCAACAAACCCAACCGCUAAGGAUCGUCAAACCAAAUUGGAGAUAUUUAUUUAUACGCAAUCAUCGGUUAUUUCCUUAUAUAUUUUAUCAUUUUAAUUAAGUUAUUGUUUAAUAAGGAGAGAGAAUUGGUCUUCUACAUGUUCGUGAACCAUCUCUCUCAUUUUUAUUCUGCUCCCAUGAAUUACAAAUUUACAAUUCCAUGUUCUUUUGUUUCUAGGUAUUUUUUAAUAUUUCAUGAAAAUAAAACUAAAAUAGGUUGUCUACUCUAAAUUACCAUUAAGAAUUUUUGUUGUUCUUAAUCUUGGUACUUUGAGACUUGUAACACCAACUAAUA